Molecule: long non-coding RNA, 1090 nt
Filed under: Gossypium barbadense (sea-island cotton)
Lineage: Eukaryota; Viridiplantae; Streptophyta; Magnoliopsida; Malvales; Malvaceae
Description: long non-coding RNA (GBAR_LNC003816)
Source: RNAcentral
UGCGGUUUUUUUAUCAUCCGUUAGUGCUGUUUUUAUGUGAUUCAAGUUGUCUGCUAUAUAGUUUCUGCUCCAUCCUCAGGCACGUUCGUAUGUGUGUCUGGAAUAAUAAUGUUGUCUCAGUUAGAGAUAAAGAUAUAGCUUGCAAUUUCACCUUCAUCUGAACUUUCUUUGACAGCCAAUUUCCAACGGUAUCUUGUAUUGAAUGAAUAUAGCUAAUCACUUGAUCUAUAUUAUGUAUGAUAAUACCUUUCUGGUUCCAUCUUCUGCAGAUAUUGGAUGGCCUUCUUAAGUUACCCGAGAAUAGAGAGUGUGCAGACUGCAAAAGCAAGUAGGUAUCCGUUAUCAAUUUAGCUCUUAUUAAUACUUCACCAUGCGUCUUUAUGUAGUAAGGUUGCCAGCAAAAUGGAAAUUUUAAACUAGGUGCCUGAGUUACUGUAAAGGACUUGGACUCCAAUUUAUAAUGGCUUGUUUUCAAUGCAGGGGACCAAGAUGGGCUAGUGUCAGUCUAGGAAUAUUCAUUUGCAUUCAAUGUUCAGGGAUUCACCGAAGUCUUGGAGUGCACAUAUCAAAGGUUUGUUUUUGUUUUUCGUUUCAUUAUAAUUUAUGUUUCUCUUUUCCCUUGAUUCUGAAUAACAGUACAAGUCAUUCAAUGUUCAGAGAUUAUGUUUUUAUCUCCUGCAGGUGAGAUCUGCAACUUUAGAUACAUGGCUUCCGGAACAGGUUUCUUUUAUUCAAUGUAAGGAUGUCUUCGAUUACCAUCCCAAAUGAGAUGAGGUGGUGAUAGUAAUCUGUUUUAUUGUUGUUUUUGCAGUCAUGGGGAAUGAGAAAUCGAACAAUUAGUGGGAAGCAGAGUUGCCUCCUAAUUAUAACAGGGCUGGCAUCGAGAAUUUCAUUUGUGCUAAGUAUAACUUCAUAAAACUAUCCAUCUAAAACUUUUAUUUUGAUUUCUGAUUUUCUUCUAUUGCUGUAUGAAACUAGUUUUAAUACCAAACAUUUUGCUUAAGGAUGCUUAUUUUCUUCAUUAGGUAUAAAGAAAAGAGAUGGAUUCCACGAGAGGGAAAGGCUAGAUCACCAACAAGUGUGAGCGAUC